GACGAACGCUGGCGGCGUGCUUAACACAUGCAAGUCGAACGGAAAGGCCCUGCUUUUGUGGGGUGCUCGAGUGGCGAACGGGUGAGUAACACGUGAGUAACCUGCCCUUGACUUUGGGAUAACUUCAGGAAACUGGGGCUAAUACCGGAUAGGAGCUCCUGCUGCAUGGUGGGGGUUGGAAAGUUUCGGCGGUUGGGGAUGGACUCGCGGCUUAUCAGCUUGUUGGUGGGGUAGUGGCUUGCCAAGGCUUUGACGGGUAGCCGGCCUGAGAGGGUGACCGGCCACAUUGGGACUGAGAUACGGCCCAGACUCCUACGGGAGGCAGCAGUGGGGAAUAUUGCACAAUGGGCGGAAGCCUGAUGCAGCAACGCCGCGUGCGGGAUGACGGCCUUCGGGUUGUAAACCGCUUUCGCCUGUGACGAAGCGUGGGUGACGGUAAUGGGUAAAGAAGCACCGGCUAACUACGUG
RNAcentral lists this ribosomal RNA (468 nucleotides) under uncultured bacterium. RNAcentral describes it as "partial 16S ribosomal RNA". It matches the Rfam family "Bacterial small subunit ribosomal RNA", at positions 28 to 507 of the family's 1533-position model. The record is from RNAcentral.